This 1369-nucleotide ribosomal RNA is filed under the name uncultured bacterium. RNAcentral describes it as "bacterial SSU rRNA". It matches the Rfam family "Bacterial small subunit ribosomal RNA", at positions 28 to 1381 of the family's 1533-position model. The record is from RNAcentral.
GACGAACGCUGGCGGCGUGCCUAAUACAUGCAAGUAGAACGCUGAAGAGAGGAGCUUGCUCUUCUUGGAUGAGUUGCGAACGGGUGAGUAACGCGUAGGUAACCUGCCUGGUAGCGGGGGAUAACUAUUGGAAACGAUAGCUAAUACCGCAUAAAAUUGAUUAUUGCAUGAUAAUUAAUUGAAAGAUGCAAUUGCAUCACUACCAGAUGGACCUGCGUUGUAUUAGCUAGUUGGUGAGGUAACGGCUCACCAAGGCGACGAUACAUAGCCGACCUGAGAGGGUGAUCGGCCACACUGGGACUGAGACACGGCCCAGACUCCUACGAGAGGCAGCAGUAGGGAAUCUUCGGCAAUGGGAGGAACCCUGACCGAGCAACGCCGCGUGAGUGAAGAAGGUUUUCGGAUCGUAAAGCUCUGUUGUAAGAGAAGAACGGGUGUGAGAGUGGAAAGUUCACACUGUGACGGUAUCUUACCAGAAAGGGACGGCUAACUACGUGCCAGCAGCCGCGGUAAUACGUAGGUCCCGAGCGUUGUCCGGAUUUAUUGGGCGUAAAGCGAGCGCAGGCGGUUAGAUAAGUCUGAAGUUAAAGGCUGUGGCUUAACCAUAGUAUGCUUUGGAAACUGUUUAACUUGAGUGCAGAAGGGGAGAGUGGAAUUCCAUGUGUAGCGGUGAAAUGCGUAGAUAUAUGGAGGAACACCGGCGGCGAAAGCGGCUCUCUGGUCUGUAACUGACGCUGAGGCUCGAAAGCGUGGGGAGCAAACAGGAUUAGAUACCCUGGUAGUCCACGCCGUAAACGAUGAGUGCUAGGUGUUAGGCCCUUUCCGGGGCUUAGUGCCGCAGCUAACGCAUUAAGCACUCCGCCUGGGGAGUACGACCGCAAGGUUGAAACUCAAAGGAAUUGACGGGGGCCCGCACAAGCGGUGGAGCAUGUGGUUUAAUUCGAAGCAACGCGAAGAACCUUACCAGGUCUUGACAUCCCUCUGACCGCUCUAGAGAUAGAGUUUUCCUUCGGGACAGAGGUGACAGGUGGCGCAUGGUUGUCGUCAGCUCGUGUCGUGAGAUGUUGGGUUAAGUCCCGCAACGAGCGCAACCCCUAUUGUUAGUUGCCAUCAUUCAGUUGGGCACUCUAGCGAGACUGCCGGUAAUAAACCGGAGGAAGGUGGGGAUGACGUCAAAUCAUCAUGCCCCUUAUGACCUGGGCUACACACGUGCUACAAUGGCUGGUACAACGAGUCGCAAGCCGGUGACGGCAAGCUAAUCUCUGAAAGCCAGUCUCAGUUCGGAUUGUAGGCUGCAACUCGCCUACAUGAAGUCGGAAUCGCUAGUAAUCGCGGAUCAGCACGCCGCGGUGAAUACGUUCCCGGGCCU